GGCUUCUUUUUCUCAGAACUAGUAUAUAUUAUCGUGUAAGGAACAGCUUGUGCUUUCCUCCUGUCGUUGCGUUGGAGACUCUCUGGCGGCCGUAGUCUUCUUUCCGCUAUGCAGUUGGUUGUUUUGUCUUUGACACGUUUCCCGUUUCUAUUCUCUAUUCUAUUUUCAUUGUGUCUUGUACAUUCUAUCAGUGUCGGCAUAUGGAGUAUGCAUUGCUAAGUCGAUUACGUGGCUUUCUUGUAAAUGGUUUAUCUUUGGUUCAAAGUUAUGUAAUUUAAAUGUCACAUAUUAGAACGGAUAUCUACUUUUUGUUUUGUCUUUUAUCCUGUUGCUUUUCAAUGUUUGAUGACAACAUAACUUAUGAUUUAAAUUAGUAUGAG
Molecule: long non-coding RNA, 380 nt
Filed under: Mytilus galloprovincialis (Mediterranean mussel)
Lineage: Eukaryota; Metazoa; Mollusca; Bivalvia; Mytilida; Mytilidae
Source: RNAcentral